GACGAACGCUGGCGGCGUGCCUAAUACAUGCGAGUCGAACGAGAGCGACCGGUGCUUGCACUGGUCAAUCUAGUGGCGAACGGGUGAGUAGCACGUGGGUAACCUGCCCAUCAGGGGGGGAUAACAUCCGGAAACGGAUGCUAAAACCGCAUAGGUCUUCGAACCGCAUGGUUUGAAGAGGAAAAGAGGCGCAAGCUUCUGCUGAUGGAUGGACCCGCGGUGCAUUAGCUAGUUGGUGAGGUAACGGCUCACCAAGGCCGUGAUGCAUAGCCGACCUGAGAGGGUGAUCGGCCACAUUGGGACUGAGACACGGCCCAAACUCCUACGGGAGGCAGCAGUAGGGAAUCUUCCGCAAUGGACGCAAGUCUGACGGAGCAACGCCGCGUGAGUGAAGAAGGUUUUCGGAUCGUAAAACUCUGUUGUUAGAGAAGAACAAGUGCUAGAGUAACUGUUAGCGCCUUGACGGUAUCUAACCAGAAAGCCACGGCUAACUACGUG
This 498-nucleotide ribosomal RNA is filed under the name uncultured bacterium. RNAcentral's name for it is "partial 16S ribosomal RNA". It matches the Rfam family "Bacterial small subunit ribosomal RNA", at positions 28 to 507 of the family's 1533-position model. The record is from RNAcentral.